RNAcentral lists this transfer RNA (71 nucleotides) under Stichaeopsis nevelskoi. RNAcentral's name for it is "tRNA-Trp". It matches the Rfam family "tRNA". Rfam says of the family: Transfer RNA (tRNA) molecules are approximately 80 nucleotides in length. Their secondary structure includes four short double-helical elements and three loops (D, anti-codon, and T loops). The record is from RNAcentral. Lineage: Eukaryota; Metazoa; Chordata; Actinopteri; Perciformes; Stichaeidae.
AGAGGCUUAGGCUAGCACAAGACCAAGGGCCUUCAAAGCCCUAAGCAGGGGUGAGAAUCCCCUAGCCUCUG